This 312-nucleotide unclassified non-coding RNA is filed under the name plant metagenome. RNAcentral describes it as "partial contains 5.8S ribosomal RNA, internal transcribed spacer 2, and large subunit ribosomal RNA". The stretch from base 1 to 105 matches the Rfam family "5.8S ribosomal RNA", at positions 50 to 154 of the family's 154-position model. The record is from RNAcentral.
GAAAUGCGAUAAGUAAUGUGAAUUGCAGAAUUCCGUGAUUCAUCGAAUCUUUGAACGCACAUUGCGCCCUCUGGCAUUCCGGGGGGCACGCCUGUCCGAGCGUCAUUACGCACCCUCAAGCCCGGCUUGUGUGAUGGGCCCUGGCGUCUCGUUCGCGAGACGGGCCCGAAAGGCAGCGGCGGCGUCGACCCGAUGAGCCCGAGCGUAUGGGGACUUUUGUCACACGUUUGCGGUGCGGACCGGCGCCUGCUUGACUUUUCUGAUUAUCCAGGUUGACCUCGGAUCAGGUAGGGAUACCCGCUGAACUUAAGC